RNAcentral lists this long non-coding RNA (269 nucleotides) under Struthio camelus australis. Its description in RNAcentral is "lncRNA (ENSSCUG00000004260.1)". The record is from RNAcentral. Lineage: Eukaryota; Metazoa; Chordata; Aves; Struthioniformes; Struthionidae.
CAGGAAUGCAGUUAGUCACAUGAAAACAGAACAUGUUUUUCAUGCAUCCCUUUUAGUUAUAGUAAUCUUUGCUGUUGCCUCUAUGAAUAGCAGGUUGGAUGCAGACCCUUCCUCCAGAGCUGGACCCCACACUGCAAUACAGGAACCGGUGGCAACCCACCCAGGAGCCAGUCCUGCCUUCGCCCCUGACGUGCAGCUGCAAGGGAACAGGGACUUGCAGUAAGCCAGGGGCUGGUUCUCGCAGUCACCCCACCAGGUCUGUAGUUACA